RNAcentral lists this long non-coding RNA (2553 nucleotides) under Homo sapiens (human). RNAcentral describes it as "HSALNT0231514". Lineage: Eukaryota; Metazoa; Chordata; Mammalia; Primates; Hominidae. The record is from RNAcentral.
CCACAGUGUCUCAGCCUAGGGCGCCCCUCACCACCGACUGCUGUGUACCCAUUCUCGGCAGGUUGUUUCAUCAGGUCUCUCGCCCUAGCCCAUCCCGACUUCCUCCGCAGCCCUUCUGAACAUGAGAGAAACUGCAGGAACGAAAAACCAAGACCCCAAAUUGGAAAACAAACUUGCAGGGAAGGAGGAUGCUCUGGCCUUGAGGUUCGAACUCCCGCCCCGGGGAGGCAAGAGCCAGGCACCCCUUUCUCCUAAUGUUUGGUUUUCGGGGUUCCGCGACCCCUUGCAAUGACUUAAGUGCUCUGUGUAUUGUGUUCCUACAUUAUUUGGGAGAAAAGAGGUUAAUCCAUGUCUUCCAGCUGAUUCUGAAAGAAAUCUCAUACUCCAAAAGAGGGCCUUGUGGGAACAGAGGAGGGGGUCCUUCCUUCUCGAGGGCGGCUCCGCAGGACCCUGGGGGCUGGAGGGUCGCACCUGGUCUUUUUCACGGCCCUCGCGUCUUUUUCUGAAACCUCCAAUUGAAGUGGAAGACGACGCCUGGGGAAUUAAGAAGAUGACUGGGAAAGAAGAUAGCAAGGAUUUUCUAUGGAAUGGGCCCAGCCAGUAUGACCCAAGCGUGGAGACUUGGAUGUCCACCCCACAGGCCAAAAGCUCUUAAGACCAAAACGGUCUUUCAGGGCGCGGUUGCACGGUAGCACCCCCAUUUCCCAAACCGCAGAUUAAAACUGCGCGGGGUCCAGAGUUGGAGCGUGGAAGGGCCCGCAGGAGUGGAAGUGCGUACACCUGAUGCGGGACGGGAACUGCCGGGCGCGCACGGCUGCAGCCCCCACCCGCAGGCUGUUUCAGCCGGCAGCGUAUUUCUCAAUUGCCUGCGCCUGGUUUUUUGAAAUGUGCCGAAGCCGUGGCGGGAACCGGUAGGGUUAACUUUGUUCUAGUCGUGGGCCCUGCUCCCCAAAUUCCCAAUGCUAACUGGGUCUUAGGUCCAGGGCUGUGGCGCGUUGGGGUGGCGAAGCAGUUUAAGUUUGUCCGGGCCGGAGUUCAAAGCUAAGGCCCCACGGUGGGUGGGGGGAUAGCGGGGGUCUCCUCUAGGUCCCCCUCCCUUCGAAUCGCAUGGCUCCCAGGGGCCGGUAGGCGGCGCCCUUCCUAAACUGCAUCCGCGUCUGGCUCUGUCAUGGGAGCGCAAUUACAUUCCUUUCACUUUGGGCGGUUUGCAUUGCGCUGUUCCGCGCUUCCGUCCGAGUUGGCAGCUAGCUGUGGGGGACAGGUGGACUAGGAGGCACGGUCGGUGCCAAAACCGCACGUGCGACCUUCCCUCCCCCACAAUCUUCUAGGUCCCAAGGGCUGCGCAUGGCACCAGGAAUAAGCAGCCCGGAGGGGUUUGCAAAUCAGGAGGCCUUGCUGCAGACCCCGCACCCGGGCUGGGGGAACGGCAUUUCGGGCCUUGGUACCCGGAGUGUAGGAGCUGGGAGGAGAAAGACGUCUCUCCUGACUCCCAAAUCCCAUGAACUGAUUCGGCCCCGCACAGAGCAGGUUUCCGGUUUUGCACUGCCUCAGGGGACUGCUUACAGAGACCCCACGCAGUGAUCCCGUGACCCCUGUUGCUAGACAUCCAGAGGCUUCUGGUCCCUAAGUGCCAAGGUAGGCGUUUCUUGGGGCCCAGAAACGGCCUAGCCAGGGGCAGGUGGCAAACGCCAGCACAGUCUCAGCACCUCGGGACCUUAGGCGCUGCCUCGCGCAACUUCUGCGCCCCAAUCCAUGCCUGAGAAGAAACCCUGAGCCCCGAACACGCCGGAAGUUUCCCCAGCGCGUCUAAGAGGCUUCGCCUGCUGGAGGGCCCGAGACGCAGCAAAGAAGAGGCUCCGGGAGGAACUUGGGAUCGUACGGACACGCAACCACUUCUGGGAUUAAGCGCGGAAGACGUUUCCUAAAUGCCCUGAAUCCCCGUUUGCCUGGUAGGCCACCUCCAAACUCAGAGUCACUAAACACCAGAAAAGCUGGUGGCCACCGAAACCCAGCUCUGUAAAGAAGAAAAACCCAGACGUAAUUGGGUGCUAGUACUGAAGACCAAGUGCGCACAGAAAACCGCAGACCGUGCAGAGGCCCAGGGCGGAAGGGAUGCGGGCAGCGGACAGCGACUCAGGCAGCAGCCGCGGAGUCCCCAGCGGUUUAGCUCCCCAGCCGGAGGCUCUCCGCGCCGUUCCUGGAUGAAGAGAAACGCCUGGCGUUCCCGGGUGCGCGGUUCCCGUUCCCAGGCAGCUCGGCGGGCAUUCGGCUCGCAGCCCCGAGCCUUCGCGGUCUGAUUUGGGAGGCCUGCGCCCUGGCAUUUGCAUAUUCCCGGGAACACUGGGAGGCCUGUAAUUUUCUUUUUAAAAUCGUUGGGCAGGGUUUAGGGCCAAUGCUUCCAAAACCCCGCCGAGUUGAUGUCGUCCUUAAACUCUCCCUUAAGAGAAGGGGACUGGCCUAUUCUUCUGACUUUUUUAGAAAAGGUGACUCCUGGGGCUGCAUAUUCAACAGGGGGGAAAGCUGAUUGUGAACCAGGCUGUGGGGGGAGAGAGG